This 253-nucleotide ribosomal RNA is filed under the name uncultured prokaryote. RNAcentral's name for it is "partial 16S ribosomal RNA". It matches the Rfam family "Bacterial small subunit ribosomal RNA", at positions 525 to 777 of the family's 1533-position model. The record is from RNAcentral.
ACGUAGGGUGCGAGCGUUAAUCGGAAUUACUGGGCGUAAAGCGUGCGCAGGCGGUUCGUUAAGUUCGAUGUGAAAGCCCCGGGCUCAACCUGGGAAUGGCAUUGGAAACUGGCGGGCUUGAAUGCGGCAGAGGGGGGUGGAAUUCCGCGUGUAGCAGUGAAAUGCGUAGAGAUGCGGAGGAACACCGAUGGCGAAGGCAGCCCCCUGGGUCAAAACUGACGCUUAUGCACGAAAGCGUGGGGAGCAAACAGGA